RNAcentral lists this ribosomal RNA (409 nucleotides) under uncultured bacterium. Its description in RNAcentral is "bacterial SSU rRNA". It matches the Rfam family "Bacterial small subunit ribosomal RNA", at positions 509 to 916 of the family's 1533-position model. The record is from RNAcentral.
CAGCAGCCGCGGUAAUACGGAGGGGGCGAGCGUUGUCCGAAGUUACUGGGCGUAAAGCGCGCGUAGGCGGGUUGGUAAGUCCGCUGUGAAAGCCCGGAGCUUAACUCCGGAGGGUCGGUGGAUACUGCCAGUCUUGAAGGUGCUAGGGGGAGAUGGAAUUACCGGUGUAGCGGUGAAAUGCGUAGAUAUCGGUAGGAACACCAGUGGCGAAGGCGGUCUCCUGGGGCAUUCUUGACGCUGAGGCGCGAAAGCUGGGGGAGCAAACGGGAUUAGAUACCCCGGUAGUCCCAGCCCUAAACGAUGAAUACUAGGUGUCGGGGGUAUCGACCCCUCCGGUGCCGCCGCUAACGCAGUAAGUAUUCCGCCUGGGGAGUACGGCCGCAAGGUUGAAACUCAAAGGAAUUGACGG